GCCAAAUGAUGUCAAAAAAGACUUCCAUGAGCACUCUGUGCAGAGAUGACACAGAUCUAUCACCCAAGACUGAUGGCU
This is a small nucleolar RNA of Sceloporus undulatus (fence lizard), 78 nucleotides long. RefSeq annotates it as small nucleolar RNA SNORD83. The record is from RefSeq and is a predicted model, not a curated record. The transcript has a single exon. Lineage: Eukaryota; Metazoa; Chordata; Lepidosauria; Squamata; Phrynosomatidae.